Enterococcus casseliflavus EC20 is the source of this 235-nucleotide regulatory RNA element. It matches the Rfam family "T-box leader". Rfam says of the family: Uncharged tRNA acts as the effector for transcription antitermination of genes in the T-box leader family. T-boxes are found upstream of many aminoacyl-tRNA synthetase genes and some amino acid biosynthetic genes usually in Gram-positive bacteria. The record is from Rfam. Lineage: Bacteria; Bacillati; Bacillota; Bacilli; Lactobacillales; Enterococcaceae.
AAACACGCGAUGAUAAGAAGAGUAAGUCAGUUUCGAUUGGAUCAGAGAGCUCGGAUUGGUGAGAAAGAGCACAGCCGUUUGACUGAAGAUGGCCUUGGAGCGUUUGGACGUGAGCAAAAGCAAGCGUGCAGCGGGAUUGCCCGUUACAGCAAAGCAGUUGAUAAACUGAUAAGGUUGGCAGCUUGUGCCAAUGAAUUAAAGGUGGUACCACGAACAUGGUUGUUUCGUCCUUUCU